GACGAACGCUGGGCGUGCUUAACACAUGCAAGUCGAACGGAAAGGCCCCCUUGUGGGGUACUCGCGUGGCGAACGGGUGAGUAACACGUGAGUAACCUACCCUUGACUUUGGGAUAACUUCAGGAAACUGGGGCUAAUACCGGAUAGGAGCUCCUGCUGCAUGGUGGGGGUUGGAAAGUUUCGGCGGUUGGGGAUGGGCUCGCGGCUUAUCAGCUUGUUGGUGGGGUAGUGGCUCACCAAGGCUUUGACGGGUAGCCGGCCUGAGAGGGUGACCGGCCACAUUGGGACUGAGAUACGGCCCAGACUCCUACGGGAGGCAGCAGUGGGGAAUAUUGCACAAUGGGCGGAAGCCUGAUGCAGCAACGCCGCGUGCGGGAUGACGGCCUUCGGGUUGUAAACCGCUUUCGCCUGUGACGAAGCGUGAGUGACGGUAAUGGGUAAAGAAGCACCGGCUAACUACGUG
Molecule: ribosomal RNA, 463 nt
Filed under: uncultured bacterium
Lineage: Bacteria
Description: partial 16S ribosomal RNA
Rfam family: Bacterial small subunit ribosomal RNA
Source: RNAcentral